AAAAUUUGUUGUCUAUUUGAAAUGAUCUGAAAUGCGUUCUGGGUUGUCUGUUUGAUUUAUAUGAGCCUAUGGCUAGUAUGCUUGUGAUACAGUAUUUCUAACAUUUAGGAGGUCAAACAAGACCAUGGGUUUGUGUCUCUUCCACCAAAUUCAGGGCUUUUUGGUGCACUUCAACUUUAAGCUUGUCUAACUGCAUUUUUUGAAUUGUGUUGCACUGGAAUAACUGGUAUUGACGGGGUACUGUAUUACUUUUUCAUUCUGAAACUGGCACAGUAACGGUAUUCUUAACUAUUUAGGCAUUAGGUAGCACAUGUUAAGAACUAUAAUUGCAAUUAUUAAGAGGAAGCUCCCUUUUAUACAGUUAUGAAAGCUCGCAUGGAGCUAUGUAUGAAUUACACUUGGAGUAAAUUUAAUUAAACCUCUGCCUGGAGCCAAUGGGUUUUCAUCUCAUCUGAGCUCACAAGCUAAGCAGAAUCAGGCUUGCUUAUUACAAGGUGCUGCAGGAAAUCAUUUUGGUAAGUCAGUAGGAAGCAGACUUCCCUUUGAGUCAGACUAGACCAGUGCUGUCAACAAGGUCUUGGAGGCAAAAGUGCCUUUGAAGAUCUAGAAAAUUGGUCAUAAAGAGCCACUGGCAUUUUUACAAAUGUUGAGGUGUUAAACCUUGUGUCCUGGCCAAGUUCCAAUGUUUUUAACAAUAUUCUAGCUACUAAUAUUCCCACUACUUAUGGGCUAAGGUUUUCAAAAACAGGAGCUUAAGAAUCUAACUGUAAGUCCAUAUUUAGGUUCCUCAGUACGUCUGGCCUGACCCUCUAAAGUGGUGUGCAUCCACUAGCUCCUAUUGAAGUAAUUGAAGCUGUGGGUGCUUCGAACUUACAAAAACUCUGACCAAACUCUCUCUGUGUAUGCGCAAUGUGCCCAGCUAUUUGAUGGUGGAGAACCGGUAGCCAGGUGGAGAACCGGUAGCCUGCCGUCAAAAUAAGUCAGUGGGCACUCGUCAAGAAUAUGCGAUAUAGUCUGAAGUUGACGAGGCUGCAUCGCAGGUCAUUAUUUAAAAAAAAACAAAACAAAAAACAUUUAAAGAGAUUUAGAUGGUUAAAUAAGCACUUAGGAUCCUAACUUUAUGCUUCAGAUUUUGCAAACCUUGGCCCUGACCUUUUUCACUCCUCUUCCUAAACUAUUAUGUAAUAAGUUUAUUAUUUAACAGUAUAUCUGUGGUGCUGAUCCUCCUGGUCAUGGUUAUAAAGCUAAUCAAAAGUAAUGACCUUUAUGAUGCUGACAGUCUGGAGAGCAGUGCCAAACAUGGUACUGUAAGUGAGAGACCAUCCUGCUUUACAGAUAUAUAGAGAAUUAGAAAAUGUAACACUGAAGACCUAGGCUACCUGGGAACUUCCUGAGCAUUGCUUCAUGUUAAUUACAAUAGUUUAAUACCGUUUUGUUGUACCUUCUUCUUUUCUUAUUGGGUAACCAUUAUGCUCAGUGUUCUAACUGCACCAGCCAGGAAAGAGGAGACCCGCAUUGUCUGUUGCAAGAGAUAGAAUCUUCCUAGUUGGCCUCCUGUCCAGGUAGUACUUUGCCUCCUGUAUCAUGGAAGCAAACAGGAGGCAGAGGCUACAGAAUUUUGCCACGUCCCCAGCAGUUCUGUGCCAGAUUGUUUGCCACCAGCCAGCAGAACAGAACAUCAGCUCAGCUCUCCUGUCGUACCCCUGUAGAGCUUGGCAGUAAUCCAGGCAGUAGUAAGUGGUUCCCUUCAUCUAACUCAAUGGUUUCAAGAAAAGUCUCUAUGGAAGCUCUGCAUCUUUUGGUUCUUGGCGAUUUUGGCAGUAAGGUGACCCCUUCCAUAGAAGGACAUCAAAUCAUGCUUGUGCUUAAAAAGACUUCUGUGAUGUUUUGCAGCAACAACCUAGACAGAUCAGUUGCUCCCAAUGAGCUCUUUCCUCAGUAUUGAAUGUGCUUAUGGGCCCAGCACUGCAAUACGGGAGAAAUAUCCCAAAAGCUACUUUCUUACAAGCUGGCAGUUUUAGUUGGUGUGACUUGGUUAAUUGUUUCUUUGCCUUACAUUGAGUUUUCCCUAGAUGCUGCAGUCUAGCCUACCCUCAGAAUUGGUUCCCUAAAGGGAAUCCAGAGUUCCACCUUUUCUACCAGCAUUUUGCCCAGCACCUUCCACUUCCCUUCUGAGGAAAUUGUAUUCCUCCUUGUCAUGGGCUUGCCUGAGCCAAUGGAGCAUCUCAAACUUACCUUGUCUUGCAGAAGUCCCGUUCAUACUCCGUUUAGGGUGAUCUUCCUGGGCCCGGCAAUCCACAAAGUAAACAAAACGGUUUCAUUGACUGACAAAAGGUGCAGUCAGUCAGGUGCUGACCAAGCCAGGUUUCUCAGGUUAAAAUGAGGAGAUUCUUCUCCUCUCCCAGCUUCACCCAGAACUGGCCCCUGGAAGAAGCAACCGCGGUGUACCAAGCAUUUGCUGCUCCUUGCUGUGCCUUGCAGCUGAUGGUGGGUGGCCUUUCUAGGCAGCUCCUGGAAGACUAAACGCUGUGCUCUUCCCUCCCCACCCCCAAUGACACAUUGGGGUACCCCAAUGUGGUGGGGUCUCCAGCAGGGAGCAGAAAAUGCCUGGUACAUCCUGUGUCUCUCCUCCUGAGCCCAGGAAUUCAGGAAAACAGGCUACUGUUUAUGUACUUCAAAGGCUGCAAUGAGGGCAGGGUAGCGUGGAAGACCUUGCUGGCCAUAAAGAUAAAGGAUUAUAGCCGGGGGGUUUAUAAUUUAGGUUGGUAAAAUUCGUAUGUUGUUUGUCACAUUCCACUCCAGCCCAUAGAGGAGACGAGAUGGGGUAGAGGUGCUGAGGCAUAUGUCUCUUUCAUCUGUGAUGCAGCCCCCUGGUGGGUUUUUCAUACAUUCCUUUAUCUCUGUCACUGGAUUAUCUGCAGUGACAUCUGAGUUCAACCAUUCAGUUGAAUGGAGCUUCAAGCUCCACUGUAGGUAAACCCUCCUUCAGAGUUAUACUGUUUGCUAUGUCCACUGAGCCUAAUGGUGACCCGGUAGGAUAGGAGAAAAUGAGACUGUAUGACCAGGAAAGAAUUACUAAGUUUAGGCUCCUAUUUUUCAAAAUCUUGUCCUAAGAAUAAUACAAUAUAAAUGGCAGUUAAUUGCCUAGCAGGUGGUUUUGUCACCUUGACUUGAAAGUUGAUUAUUUGUUUCUUUUAUUUCUUUACUCCUCAAACAUAUUUCUGAGUAAAAUCUCAUUCCUAGUGUAAACUGAAAUGGAUCUUAGUUAUAACUUUAUUCGGAUCUACACCCAGCUCUAGAGUUUAUCCAAACAUUCCAUCUUGAGCUUGUGGUUUUUAUAUUUCACUUUCCAAAUUUGGAAGAACGAAUUACAAGAUCCUCAGAGUUUUCUUUUAUUGUAUUGCUGUUCACUAGUCAGUAUCUUAAUACUCUCAAACUGUCACAAGCCAGGGAAAUACUUCUAAUUUAAUAUCGGAUAGCAAGAAUCAAGUUUCUAAAUCUGGAAUAUCUCACAAUUUAACAGGGUUUUGAUUAGGUAUAUCAGCUGUCAUUUGCUAUCCAAUAUUAAAAACUAACAAGGUCCCUCUUGUUAAAGUAUCUCACUUUCAUGGUGGUACUUCGCAAUUUGGUAGAAAUACAGGCAUGUAUAGAAGUCAUUACUAUUUGUGUUUAAAAAAUAUUAUGUAGACACACAACCACAGUUGCAGUCUUCUGAUGAUGUACCUUUAGGCAGCCAGACUGCAAAAUUUGGUAUGCCCUUUAAUGUAUAUUACUUUGUGCAUGCAUUUAGCCCUGAUUAUGGCUCCUGUAAGCAGCAGUGAAGUAACAGGCGAAGAGAACCAGUUUCCAGUCCUGCCCCGCACAAAAGACUGGACCAGAUUUUCAGCAGUGCUCAGCACCCAGCAGCUCCCAUUGUCCUGAUGUAAUUUCUCACUGUUCUCAACGUCUCCUUUAGAAUCUGGCCCCAGUUGUGGGUACUGAGCGCUUCUGAAACUCUGUCCCACUAGUUUAACUAAUCUUUGUGAACCAGUUAUUUCAGGCCACAGUGGGCUAAUUUUGCUGCUACUCAGUAGAAAAGUAAACACCCCCCACCUUCUCCCCCUCUCUUCCUUUGAAUUAUUUGAUUGACUUUUUGCCUAGCUCCCCAUCCCCCUGCAUUAGUAAAUGAUAGAUACUGGCCAGAAUGUUCACACUUGCAAGCCUGACGAUAGGCACCUAUGUCCAUAUUUAGGCACCUAAUAUUGAGUGGCUUGGUUUUCAAAGGUGCUGAGUAACUUCAGCUCCUAGUAACGCUAAGGCAGAUGAUGGAUGCCCAGUUGCUGCAAAUCAACCUGUUUACUUAGGUGCCUGAAUAUGGAUUUGGGUGCCAUUUUCAGGUACUCAAGUUGGAAAAUUUUGACCACUAUCUCUAAACCAAAUUUCUCAAGUCUGGUCAGGUGGAAUAGUGAAUUUGCUUUUGGUAGCCAUCUUGAGCUUUGGAUUCUCUGCUGUAGAUCACACACAUGCUAUGGACAAUUGACCUGUCAGAGAGGGUAUGAACUACCUUUCAUCUAGAACAGCCUGGGGUAGUUGGUCCAUAGCCCAGAUGACCAAGACUUUACAAGAGACUGCCCCACAACCCAGGCCAGAGUGUUUUCUUGGUGUGUGAGCCCAUAUCACAAGGGAGAAGGUUUAAAAAUGCCUAAUGAAAAAAUGACUAUUUGCCAUUCCAUGUGAAAUUCAUGGGGCUGGCGUUUGGGCACUGACAUUAGCAUCAUGAACUGCUGUGCCAAUCUCUAAUACCUUGGUUUUCUAUCUUAAUUUGGAAUGACGAAUGAAAGGCGAUCCAUGUACUAAUUGCAAGAUCCUUACGUAACACAUUAAUACUGUAAUGUACAGAACUUCACUGUUCACAGGACGGCCAUCUGGCUUGGGCUCAGCACGAGUUCCCUUAGGUCAAAGUUCUAAGCUGCUGGACUCAGCUGAGGUGUCUCUCGCCACUGCUACUAAGGUCCUUGGCUGCCUCCUGUGCUCCUGUAAUUAAUUCCUUUCUGACGGCAGUCAGUGAAAAACUUUUGGGGGCAGUGACAUUUCUUUGCAAUGUGUCUCUGGAUGGCUUCUGCCUCUCACAAUAUCCUUUGUCCUGGUGUAUAUUUUGACUGCCACUGAGGCACAGACUUGCAAUGGUGUCCAGGUUGAUGUCCCCAGGGUUCAUGCCACCUUCACCUGCUCUCCUUCAAGCAUCUUUUGGAGGUCCCUUUCUGCAACACCUUUAUUCUCCUGUCCUUUCCCUGACAGUCUGCCCUUCUCCCAGGAGCACUGAGGCAGGGCCAAUAGGUUUGGCUGCAGGCAGGGGCUAGGACCAUCCUUUCUGGAAUUCUCCAGCAUUUUCUGCCUCUGCCCCCUAUGCAGACAGAAAACUAUGGGCUCCCCAUCCUGCUUCCUCUUUAUGGACCUUCAUUUAUCUGCCCACAGGCUGUUGCCCUUUGUGGAGUUUUAUGCCAUGUUGCUCCUUAUCCACCAGAGCAUCUCUUAACAUCAGGCUUGGGUAUUGUAACUAUUGCUUGAUGCAUUGAGUUUCUUGCUCAGCACUAGUCCGGAUAUUUUUUUACUCCUUCCCAUGUCUUUCAGGUGGCAAAACAAACCAGUAACUUAAAAUAUUGUUAUGAGUGUGGUCAUACUGUCUCUCUACCAGACAUGCAUGCCUGGUGUCUUUGAGAAAGGAAAUAAACUGGCUGAACUGUCAGAUGUGCUCACAGAUGUAACUAUAAGUUCUCAGUUCCUGAGAAGAGCUCUUCAGAGCCCUAUUCUGAUAAUUCUUCUAACUCCACUACAAAGCUAGCACAAAAAGUCUCAAAAGAGUCCAUGUCAAGAUGCCAUUGCAGGCACUGAGACUGUCAGCGUCUCUCUGGAGGGCACAGAUCUGCCAGGAGAGGUUGUGUAGCUCCCAUUCCACUGCACCAAAGUCUGCAAGUUAAAACUGUGUCCGAUGCCAUUCUGCACCAAGACUUCGGCAUCCUUACUGCCUCAAUGCACCCAACAAGUGAUGCAUGACAGAAUCCUCAUUACGCAAGGUGUUGCUUCAACCGAAGUGUUGAGCUUAGUCUUUGUUGUUUUUUUUUUUUUUUUUAAGGGCUUUGUUUUCUGUAGCUAUGCAGUUUGAUCUGGCCACCUCUCUGACUCUUUGAUUGUCAAGUUAGGUUCUGGUCCCCAGCCCUGCUGUCCUGAGCUUGCAGCCUUCAAGUUGAUUGCACGGAAGGCUUCUCUUAUAAAGUUUCACCUUGUUUGGCUAACAGUUACCAAAGUUUACUCGCAGGAUUGUUCCUUUUUCAAACUGGUGCAUACAGACACAUCACCUUCCACGUGCGCCCUUCAGCAAGUCAUGGAGUUUAACAAGAACCUGAAGCUCCUCUUUCUGAGUGCAGGUUUCCGUAAUGUUGGCCUUCCAGCAUCCAAAUGGCAUCAGGAGUUGGGUUUCUGUGCUUGAUUAUCAUAAUCCUCUCCUUGCUGAGACAAAUCCACACAAGCUCUAGGGAGAGAGGAUGUGUGGAGUUCCCAUGUAGUCAGAUUGCCUAAAGCCUGACUUCUGGAGAGGAUGAAGGGCUUGGGCAUUGGGAAAGGGCACAUUUUUUGGAGAGUGAAUGCUCUUUGGUGGUCUAGCUAAGUUUCUCCCCAAGAACUUAAGAGCCUUAGACAGCAGAAUAGCUAACUCAGUCAUCAUCCGCACUCCAACUCUGGAGCCAGCCUUGCUCAUGUCCUAGACUGAAGAUGCCAAUGCAUUUGGCUGAAAAAUGGCUAAUAGCAAAGGAGGCAUCACAGGAAUUCAUCUGAAGUUGAUUGCAGUCUAGUAAGUCUCUGCCGUCUGUGACAGACAUGAUUUUGUGUUUUACAUAAGCAAGCAGGGAGGAACAAGAUGUUUCUUUAUUCAGAAGCCCUGUAAGUGGAGAAUUGGACAGUGCCCACAAGUCAUUGCUAGCUGCCUUGCAGGAAAGGAAAUAUACUGUUGCCAACAGGUUUGACCAGCUUGUAGGAGUCCCUCUGCUGGAAGUAAUGGAUCAGCCAAUAGGACUGUGGAUCCCUCGAUAAUCUUGCUAUGACAUUUCAGUUGCAUGAGGAAGGGCAUCUAUGCAGCCUUAGUGGGCAGUACUCUUCCUGAUGGUUCCAAGCUCAUAGCACUGCAAAGGUGCUUGCAUCCUAAAAGCAUGGCCCUACAGAGAAAAUGUAUCACACCGGAGUAGUCCCCUUUUCUUAGGGUCAGGAGGGACUCUGUGCAUUUCUUCUCUUGCAGCGUAAUGGAAUAUUCGUUAACUAAGCUGCUGAAAGCUCCCGGUGAGACACUUGAUACCUGUGAGUUCGUUACAAGUAGGUAGGGCACUUUCCCCAGGGGUGGUGACGUUAGCCCAUAGAGUGAGGGAACUUUGAGGCCAUUGUGCCCAAUGCAGUUCUUCAAAGAGCAGGUGAUCUAGCAUUCUAAAUUCCUUGCAGAGCUGGUGACAGUGAUCUGUCUUAGCCAAUCCAUCAGACUGCCAUGGCUUACCCCAGUAAAACCCUUCCCCACAAACUCUGCCAACGCGCUCUAGACUUGAACUAGAGAAUGCUAAAACCAGCUAUUUUUAGUUUACACCCAUUCAGUAUGUACUGGGAAAGAAUUGUGUCUCUGAUUGCAUCUCAUUGCUACAGCCUGGCAGGUCUACUGGUGUUCUGCUGCAGGCCACAAGCUCUGCUCUGUCCCCAUUCAAGAGAUGUGCAAAGCAGCCCCAUGGUGCUUUCGGCACGUUUUCCAUACAACAUUGCUCCCAUUCGGCCUCAGGCCAAAGGGGAUUUUGCUUCUCCUCAAGUUUAUAGAAACGCUGCCUGACAUCACGGGCCCCAAAACACUCUUUUCUGUGACUGUCUCCUUCUGUUUGGGGCAGUAGCUUCUCUCUCCACAUACCAGGAUAAGGUUUGCGUCGCUCUUGCUAUUAAAGGUAUGUUCUGCACACAGCGUAUUGCCAUUUUGGUUGCACUGUCUUUUCUUCUGAGGCAUCUUUGCAGCUUUUGUUAGUCUCUAAGAAUGGGGCUUUGCUUUGCUGGGUCUCUCUGGUAAACCUAAACCUGUAACUGUUGGUCUCUGCAGACCUACACCUCAGCAGAUUACUGCUCCCUAAGGGCUCAACAUUCCCUUGCUUGGCAUUGCUAAUGUAUACGUUUAAAGAAUGUCCAUCUAUUAUGGAGUCAUUUUGCCUCCUGCCCAAAGGGAAUAGAUUACUGGCACAGCCUAAAUUCCUCACUGGGGGGAGGAGGGCCCAAAGCUGUCUCUCGGAUGUCCUACCACAUAGAACAUUGAGCUCAGAGGGCUCCUGGCAUUGCCAUGUGAACAAGCAAAUGCCUACGAGGAGUAAUUUGCUGAGGUGUGUAUUUGCAGAGGAGAGAUUACAGGUAAGUAAUAAUGACGCAUGCUCAGUUCUCCAUUGCAUAAAGGUAAAUUGUCUGAUACUCCCCAUUGUACUGCUUAAAAACAGAGCGGAAAUCUGGAUCAACAGCUUGUCACCCUUCUUGCGACAGCAUCCACUCUUUUCCCAUUCAACUUUCCAAAAUGGUCUCCUGCCGCUCUUCACUAAAAUCACUGUGUUAUGGGUGCUGAGGAAAACGUCCCGGAAAGCACUGCUGUACAUUGGAUUGUAUUUCCACCCACUUGUGGCACGACAAGCCCUGGAAUGGUCUGUUGUGGGUGUGUUAGAGUGAUGGGUAGAGGCCUGGUCACCUCCCAUUACUUAAGCUGGACAGUUGGUCGCACUGUGAUCUCCCUCCAGUUCUCUUCUGUAUCUUUCUGGAGCGUUGUUUUGCAGCACGGGGGAGCCAGUAUGGUUGUUUGAAUGCUGCUGU
Molecule: non-coding RNA, 8844 nt
Organism: Chrysemys picta bellii (western painted turtle)
Lineage: Eukaryota; Metazoa; Chordata; Testudines; Emydidae
Source: RefSeq, a predicted model, not a curated record